AUGGCACGCGGCGGCGGGAUGCAGGCACAGGCGCGCCACCGCGGGAGACGCCCUGGAGAUGUUCGAGGUGCGGGGCCCCUGGCCACCGACGAAGAGGAGGAGAGAUCGGAUACGGUGCGUCGCUGGUGGCUCCGGCGGUUGGACCACGGGCGGCGGCGGCGGCGGCAGUCACGAGUCGAACUCGGAUUGCGUGGUUUCUACGCGGCGGGGCAUCAGGGGUCGAUCUAUAUCUGGCGGGCUGCGGGGAUAGAUCGCACUUUUCCUUCGAUCCUGCGAGCAAGCCGUCCCCUCGAUAGAUCACGCGCGACGUUCCCUGACGACCUAACAACCCGGCGAGCUUCUCUCGCCGACGGCGAGCAAAGAAUCCGGCGAGUUUCCUCUUUCUUAUCCGAUCAUCAUUUGAAUUUCAGCAUCGCAAUUGUUCUAUUACUACUUGUUUCGCUUGUGCAAUCACUUGGUCUCUCUGUUCUUUGCUGUGUCCUGUGUUUCGCAGAGAUGGCUAGUCAUGUCGCUGCGACCCUGCCGCCGCUGCUUCCUACCCCGGCGCGCUGCCACCUCCUGACGCCUCCUCCGGCAGUGUACACGGCUCGUGUGGAGCUGGACACCAAGAAGCAGCAGCCUGGACGUGCCUCGAUGAGCCGAAGCUGGAUCAGAGACAAGAUCGACCUUCCCGGACGUGCUUCCCGGAGCUCCAGCUGGGCCACUGACAAGACGCUCCGCCGUGCCAAGAGUUUGAACGGCGGCGUCGAGCGCCUCGGCCGCGUGGAGACGCCGAGAGAGAACUGGAAGAGGCCGGCGAGCCGCGCGCCAUCCGUCGACCGGUGCGACAAGAAGCCGAGGCCUCCGACUGAGAUGGUGGCAGCCUCGGAGGAAUCAAUCUCCGCCGGCCCCGCCCCGCCGGCCGGCCGGUUCGAGAAGAAGGCGACGCCUAUGACUGAGAUGGUCGCAGACUCGGUGGUGACGUCCUUCCCUGGCCCUGCUCCGUCGAUCGACCUCUCGGAGAAGAAGGCAGAGCCUACGACUGAGAUGGUGGCAGACUCGGAGGCGGCGACACUCUUCGCUGGUCCUGCGGCGUCGGUUGACCGGUCGGAGAAGAAGCCAAUGCCGCCGGCCGUGGUGGAGGCAUCACCCUUCGCUGGCCUCGCUCCGUUGAUGUACCGGCCCGACAAGAAGCCGAAGGCUCUGGCUAAGAUGGAGGUGGACUCGGAGGCAUCCUUGUUCGCUGGCCCGACAUUCAUGAUGUCGCCGGACCCGAGCGAGCUGCCCAUGCCGACCUUCAUCAUGUCGGCGGAUCCGAGCGAGCUGCCCAUGCCAACCUUCCUCCAUAAGCACAAGGUCGCUAAAGUGUUAGCUAGACUAGUCGCUCCGAUGCUCAUUGAUCAGCAAGAUUGA
RNAcentral lists this ribosomal RNA (1392 nucleotides) under Triticum aestivum (bread wheat). Its description in RNAcentral is "partial small subunit ribosomal RNA". The record is from RNAcentral. Lineage: Eukaryota; Viridiplantae; Streptophyta; Magnoliopsida; Poales; Poaceae.